GGCGUGUACUGCUUGGCUGGGCCUUACUUCUUGGUGAGCCGGCGUGCCCUUUAUUGGUGUGCGUCGGGGAACCAGGACUUUUACCUUGAGAAAAUUAGAGUGUUCAAAGCAGGCCUAUGCCUGAAUACAUUAGCAUGGAAUAAUAGAAUAGGACGUGCGGUUCUAUUUUGUUGGUUUCUAGAGUCGCCGUAAUGAUUAAUAGGGACAGUUGGGGGCAUUGGUAUUGAGUCGCUAGAGGUGAAAUUCUUGGAUUGACUCAAGACCGACUAUUGCGAAAGCAUUUGCCAAGGAUGUUUUCAUUAAUCAAGAACGAAGGUUAGGGGAUCGAAAACGAUCAGAUACCGUUGUAGUCUUAACAGUAAACUAUGCCGACUAGGGAUCGGAUGACCUCAAAAUUGAUGUGUCAUUCGGCACCUUACGAGAAAUCAAAGUCUUUGGGUUUUGGGGGGAGUAUGGUCGCAAGGCUGAAACUUAAAGGAAUUGACGGAAGGGCACCCCCAGGUGUGGAGCCUGCGGCUUAAUUUGACUCAACACGGGGGAAACUCACCAGGUCCAGACAUAACUAGGAUUGACAGAUUUGAUAGCUCUUUCAUGAUUUUAUGGGGUGGUGGUGCAUGGGCCGUUCUUAGUUGGUGGAGUGAUUUGUCUGGUUAAUUCCGAUAACGAACGAGACCUUAACCUCCUAAAUAGCCAGCCCGCCUUCGGCUGGUCUCUGGCUUCUUAGAGGGACUGUCAG
This 736-nucleotide ribosomal RNA is filed under the name uncultured eukaryote. RNAcentral describes it as "SSU rRNA". It matches the Rfam family "Eukaryotic small subunit ribosomal RNA", at positions 672 to 1426 of the family's 1831-position model. The record is from RNAcentral.